AGAAUCAACGCUGGCGGCGUGCCUAACACAUGCAAGUCGAACGAGAAAGGGUAGCAAUACCUGAGCAAAGUGGCGCACGGGUGAGUAACACGUGACUAACCUACCCUGGAGUGGGGGAUAACUGAGGGAACCUUAGCUAAUACCGCAUAAUACCUACGGGUCAAAGGAGCAAUUCGCUUCAGGAGGGGGUCGCGGCCGAUUAGUUAGGUUGGCGGGGUAAUGGCCCACCAAGACGAUGAUCGGUA
This 245-nucleotide ribosomal RNA is filed under the name uncultured bacterium. RNAcentral's name for it is "partial small subunit ribosomal RNA". It matches the Rfam family "Bacterial small subunit ribosomal RNA", at positions 26 to 285 of the family's 1533-position model. The record is from RNAcentral.